Molecule: ribosomal RNA, 376 nt
Filed under: uncultured Serratia sp.
Lineage: Bacteria; Pseudomonadati; Pseudomonadota; Gammaproteobacteria; Enterobacterales; Yersiniaceae
Description: bacterial SSU rRNA
Rfam family: Bacterial small subunit ribosomal RNA
Source: RNAcentral
UAAUACGGAGGGUGCAAGCGUUAAUCGGAAUUACUGGGCGUAAAGCGCACGCAGGCGGUUUGUUAAGUCAGAUGUGAAAUCCCCGGGCUCAACCUGGGAACUGCAUUUGAAACUGGCAAGCUAGAGUCUCGUAGAGGGGGGUAGAAUUCUAGGUGUAGCGGUGAAAUGCGUAGAGAUCUGGAGGAAUACCGGUGGCGAAGGCGGCCCCCUGGACGAAGACUGACGCUCAGGUGCGAAAGCGUGGGGAGCAAACAGGAUUAGAUACCCUGGUAGUCCACGCUGUAAACGAUGUCGAUUUGGAGGUUGUGCCCUUGAGGCGUGGCUUCCGGAGCUAACGCGUUAAAUCGACCGCCUGGGGAGUACGGCCGCAAGGUUA